UACGUAUGUCACAAGCGUUAUUCGGAUUUAUUGGGCGUAAAGCGCGUCUAGGUGGUUAUGUAAGUCUGAUGUGAAAAUGCAGGGCUCAACUCUGUAUUGCGUUGGAAACUGUGUAACUAGAGUACUGGAGAGGUAAGCGGAACUACAAGUGUAGAGGUGAAAUUCGUAGAUAUUUGUAGGAAUGCCGAUGGGGAAGCCAGCUUACUGGACAGAUACUGACGCUGAAGCGCGAAAGCGUGGGUAGCAAACAGG
This 252-nucleotide ribosomal RNA is filed under the name uncultured bacterium. RNAcentral describes it as "partial 16S ribosomal RNA". It matches the Rfam family "Bacterial small subunit ribosomal RNA", at positions 524 to 776 of the family's 1533-position model. The record is from RNAcentral.